GAUGAAGAACGUAGCGAAAUGCGAUACUUGGUGUGAAUUGCAGAAUCCCGUGAACCAUCGAGUCUUUGAACGCAAGUUGCGCCCGAAGCCAUUAGGCCGAGGGCACGCCUGCCUGGGUGUCACACGUCGUUGCCCCCCCAUCUACUCCUUCGGGAUUGCGGGGGGCGGAUGAUGGCCUCCUGUGCGCCUCGUCGCGCGGUUGGCAUAAAUGCCAAGUCCUCGGCGACGCACGCCACGACAAUCGGUGGUUGCGAAACCUCGGUUGCCCGUCGUGUGCGGUCGUCGCGCAUCGAGGGCUCGAAAAAAUUGCCGGGCUCCGGCUCGGCUUUCAACGCGACCCCAGGUCAGGCGGGGUUACCCGCUGAAUUUAAGGAUAUCAAUAAGCGGAGGA
This 391-nucleotide unclassified non-coding RNA is filed under the name soil metagenome. Its description in RNAcentral is "partial contains 5.8S ribosomal RNA, internal transcribed spacer 2, and large subunit ribosomal RNA". The stretch from base 1 to 122 matches the Rfam family "5.8S ribosomal RNA", at positions 35 to 154 of the family's 154-position model. The record is from RNAcentral.